CUGUCUCGAGAGGACUGCGGACUGCUGUCGCGAGGCCUUCGGGUCGCGUUAUGGCGGGAAACAGUUCAAUCGCAAUGGCUUGAACCGGGUAAAAGUCGUAACAAGGUAUCUGUAGGUGAACCUGCAGAUGGAUCAUCGUCGAAACCUUUUAUGGUUUAUUC
Molecule: ribosomal RNA, 161 nt
Filed under: Necator americanus (New World hookworm)
Lineage: Eukaryota; Metazoa; Nematoda; Chromadorea; Rhabditida; Ancylostomatidae
Description: partial 18S ribosomal RNA
Rfam family: Eukaryotic small subunit ribosomal RNA (bases 1-138)
Source: RNAcentral